UGUAAACUACCACUGUAUUGCACAACAUCCUAUGUGAUAUGUUACAUAAGUAAUGAUUACCUAUUAGGGUGUCAUUUGCAUGUCAUAUGUUUGCACUUUUGCAAAAAAGUAAUCGGACACUACGCUGUUCAAUAGGUGUUGAACGAGGGUGAGGUCAGGGCUAUCGCUUCAUCCAAGCACCCUUGGUUUUUACAGCUUUUUAUAUGGAAUUGUACUACAUUACACAAUGUCAAUUAUAUCACAUAAUUGUAUGAUCCAUAAGUAAGUUUUAUAUGUAGGUUUCUGCUACACAAGGUUUGUCAGUGUUUCGUUCAUUUAAUGAGUGCCCUUCGGUGGCUUAACUGGCCUUCCUGUGUGUGCAAACGUAUAUUAAAGCCAAAACUUAAUGAGUGUAUGUCAUCGGCCUCCUGGCUGUCCUCAGCCUCCUUUCCUUUCAACCUUCCCAAUCAAUAAUUCACCUGGCAGCUCCUAUCGAUUGCAACUGCUCCCUUUUCUCUUUGCCCUCCACCGCUUGCUCGCUUGUUCCACACACUGAACUUUUGAUCACAGGAAGAAAAAGGGGAUAAAGAAGCUUCACUGUGUUGGACACGGUUUCUCAUCUUUGGACUACUGUAAUGUAGAAUUGAAGUAAAGGUCAUCGUUCGAGGACGCCCCAAGAAACUUCACACGUUUGAAUGGGAAUACAGACUACUUUUACCUGUUCUCUUCUUGGUGUUCUUUCUUAAAGCUUCUGUCUUUGAGUUUCAUAUUCGCCAUUGGGCACCAUGUCAGGAACCAGCAGUGACCAGCUGCACAGAUCCACCUUGUCUGUCUAUUCAAACCUGAUAGAACACUUCAACCCGGGCCUGCAGAAGCUUGUUGCUUUGGGAAACAGCUACGUCAAAGCUUUCCAAGCAUUAGCGGUUUGUAGUGAGGCCUACUUCAGUGCUGUUGCCAAGAUGGGCGACCAUGCACUGCACACACUAUCAUCUCGCUCUCUUGGGGACGUCCUCAUUCAGAUAUCCGAGACGCAAAGGAAACUCACUGCCGAGAUGGAGGGAGUGUUUCAAUGGUUCCAGGUGGAGGUGUUGCAAGCCAUGGAGAAGAACGUCAAGUUGGAUGAGGAGUACAUUGAUGGUAGCCGACGAGUGUACGAACUGGAGGUGAGGAACCAGGCAGAGGCUUUGGAGAAACAGCUACGACGAGGAGCCUUCAGAGACUCACUGGAGAGCAGCAACUACAUGCAGUACUUGAGGCAGAGCCAGCAGGAGAUCCUGAAGGAGGAGGAGAGGAGGUAUCGUUUUCUGGCAGAGAAACACUGUGGCCUCACUCAGUCGCUGCUCUUCCUGGUUAACAAGACAGGCAUGUCUCUUCAGCAAAAAGCAGAUGGAUGGAAGGAGAAAGUCAAUGAAACCCGAGGGUCCGGAUCUCGAACCCCUAGUAAUUUGGACCAAGAGGCACAGCUGCGAGGCUCCGUAAGUUCCCUGCUGCAGACGGUAGCCAAAGACGACGACAUGUCCUGGGCCAGACGGGAGCAACAGGCACUGGGCAAUGUUCCCUCGCGAGUGCCAUCGCCCCUUCCUAGCCGCUCUCGCUCUGGCUCAGUGGGAGAGUCCUUGGGUCUGGGUGGAGGCAGACCCAUGAGAGCCUUAGUGUCUCAUCCCUCCUCGUCCAACCCAAAGCUGCUGCCUUUCAACAAGGGGGAGAUGAUCACCGUGUUGGUCCAGGAACCGCGCAAUGGUUGGCUGUAUGGGCGCACCGACAGCAACCUGCGGCAGGGCUGGUUCCCUGCUGCUUAUGUGGGUCCCAUUGAGGAUUCAGACACAAGCAGUGACAGUUCUCUGAGAAGUAGCAGCAUGAACAACAUGCUGGAUCCCAACGGCACACACAACGACCAAUCAGAGGGCAGGAGCUACGGUGACAUUGCACUGCCAGCCACGCCUAAUCGCAGAGCGUCCAUGGACAUCCGGUCGUUCUCGCCGCUCCCCGAGAAGAAGGCAGAACUGACGACAAUUGAGAUUAAACCUCCUGCUCCUCCCCCUCCCCCUCCACCUCCUCCUCCUAAGAGUCUCAAUAUCCAAAGGGGGUCAGCUGACCUGCGACCGCUUUCGCCCAACCCUGAAUGGAAAAGCGAUGGUGACGCACAGGGUUUAUCACCCAACCCACCUGAGAAUCCUCUUUUUCCAAGAGGCACAAACCCGUUUGCCACUGUGAAGCUUCGCCCUACCAAGACCAAUGACAGGUCGGCCCCUAGCAUCCAUUAAUGCGCCAUGCCAGGACCUCGGGUUUGUAAGUGAAAAAACAAUAUAAUAUGAUCAAUCUGAAACAUGGAGGACAAUUUACUCGAAUAUCAACACUGUUGUUCUGUUUUAUCCGCAAAAUGUAGGCCCAGAUAUUUUUCAUAAUCCUCUCUCAUUUCAGGGGUGACCGUGCAUUGUAAUAUUCAAAGGCUUUGUUUUGAAUCUCUGCUGCCGCCUGUCUUCUUUUUGUUGCAGUGCCUGGUUUCUGGGUCACGGGGCGGAGCCACCUGCGUGCACACCUGAUACUCAUUGCCUCCUGACUACUUCAGCUCUCCAGUUCAUUCACUCGGCGCCAGUAGGUUCCUGAUGAUUCACACUUCCAAUUGUGUUAAUCUUUUCUGCUUUUGCCUCGCUAACGCUUCCUGUACCUGUGGCUCUGUCCUGGCACUGUCGUGUAGUGUUAGUGAUGGGUUGAUGAGGCGUCAUGAAGCGUUUCGACACAUUGCAAAACUGUAUUGAUACUGUGUCGAUACUGUGUCACUAAAUACUGACAUCUGCUGGACAUUAAAAAUCCCUACAGGCAACCUAUGGACCGAUUCAACUGACACUGAUUUUAUGCUAUAGUACAGGGGUCACCAACCUUUUUGAAACCAAAAACUACUUCUUGGGUACUGAUUAAUGCGAAGGGCUACCAGUUUGAUACACACUUAAAUAAAUAAAUAUAUUGUCAUUUGUAAGUUACACGUAAGUGUGAUUUAAACAAGAAUAGCUAAAUAAAUAAAUUUAUAUAUAUAAAAAAAUGGGUAUUUCUGUCUAUUUUUUUCCUUUUACAGAAGGUUUUUUGUAGAGAAUAAAUGAUGAAAAAAAACACUUAA
This is an RNA transcript of Nerophis lumbriciformis (worm pipefish), 3094 nucleotides long. It is a transcript of the gene named BAR/IMD domain containing adaptor protein 2 like 2b, with no coding region annotated. Lineage: Eukaryota; Metazoa; Chordata; Actinopteri; Syngnathiformes; Syngnathidae. The record is from RefSeq and is a predicted model, not a curated record.